GGGGAUUUAGCUCAGUGGUAGAGCACUUGCCUAGCAAGCACAAGGUCCUGGGUUCAGUCCCCA
RNAcentral lists this transfer RNA (63 nucleotides) under Rattus norvegicus (Norway rat). It matches the Rfam family "tRNA", at positions 1 to 62 of the family's 71-position model. Rfam says of the family: Transfer RNA (tRNA) molecules are approximately 80 nucleotides in length. Their secondary structure includes four short double-helical elements and three loops (D, anti-codon, and T loops). Further hydrogen bonds mediate the characteristic L-shaped molecular structure. tRNAs have two regions of fundamental functional importance: the anti-codon, which is responsible for specific mRNA codon recognition, and the 3' end, to which the tRNAs corresponding amino acid is attached (by aminoacyl-tRNA synthetases). tRNAs cope with the degeneracy of the genetic code in two manners: having more than one tRNA (with a specific anti-codon) for a particular amino acid; and 'wobble' base-pairing, i.e. permitting non-standard base-pairing at the 3rd anti-codon position. The record is from Rfam by way of RNAcentral. Lineage: Eukaryota; Metazoa; Chordata; Mammalia; Rodentia; Muridae.